GAGCAAAGGGGCCUGAUAUAGUGGCGAAUCUUUGCAUUGAAGGUUGGCGAUAACAAGUGCAGUUCUCCGUGCCGCUUAGAUUUUCUGUGCUCUGAUGGCCUCGAACAAUCUGCUACAUC
Molecule: non-coding RNA, 119 nt
Organism: Triticum aestivum (bread wheat)
Lineage: Eukaryota; Viridiplantae; Streptophyta; Magnoliopsida; Poales; Poaceae
Source: Rfam